AUACGGAGGAUCCGAGCGUUAUCCGGAUUUAUUGGGUUUAAAGGGAGCGUAGGCGGACGCUUAAGUCAGUUGUGAAAGUUUGCGGCUCAACCGUAAAAUUGCAGUUGAUACUAGGUGUCUUGAGUACAGUAGAGGCAGGCGGAAUUCGUGGUGUAGCGGUGAAAUGCUUAGAUAUCACGAAGAACUCCGAUUGCGAAGGCAGCCUGCUGGACUGUAACUGACGCUGAUGCUCGAAAGUGUGGGUAUCAAACAGGAUUAGAUACCCUGGUAGUCCACACAGUAAACGAUGAAUACUCGCUGUUUGCGAUAUACAGUAAGCGGCCAAGCGAAAGCGUUAAGUAUUCCACCUGGGGAGUACGCCGGCAACGGUGAAACUCAAAGGAAUUGACGGGG
Molecule: ribosomal RNA, 393 nt
Filed under: uncultured bacterium
Lineage: Bacteria
Description: partial 16S ribosomal RNA
Rfam family: Bacterial small subunit ribosomal RNA
Source: RNAcentral